RNAcentral lists this ribosomal RNA (924 nucleotides) under uncultured Bacillota bacterium. RNAcentral's name for it is "bacterial SSU rRNA". It matches the Rfam family "Bacterial small subunit ribosomal RNA", at positions 58 to 980 of the family's 1533-position model. Lineage: Bacteria; Bacillati; Bacillota. The record is from RNAcentral.
CAAGUCGAGCGGCUCGCAAGAGCAGCGGCAGACGGGUGAGUAAUGUGUAGGAAUCUACCUCAAAGUGGGGAACAGCUCGCCGAAAGGCGGGGUAAUACCGCAUGUGAUCGCAAGAUCAAAGCCGCAAGGCGCUUUGAGAGGAGCCUACAUCCUAUCAGAUAGUUGGCAGGGUAAAAGCCUACCAAGUCGAUGACGGGUAGCCGGUGUGAGAGCACGACCGGCCACAAGGUCACUGAGACACGGGACCUACACCUACGGGUGGCAGCAACUGGGAAUCUUGCGCAAUGGGCGAAAGCCUGACGCAGCGACACCGCGUGUGGGAAGACAGCCUUCGGGUUGUAAACCACUGUGGCAAAGGAUGAAUUUUGACAGUACUUUGCUAGAAAGCACCUGCUAACUACGUGCCAGAAGCCUCGGUAAUACGUAGGGUGCUAGCGUUAUCCGGAUUUACUGGGCGUAAAGCGUCCGUCGGCGUCUUAGCAAGUCUUUUGUUCAAGCCUGGGGCUCAACUCCAGAAAAGCAGCAGAAACUACUAGGAUUGAGUUUGUUUGGGGGAACUAGAAUUCUCGGUGGAGGGGUGAAAUCCGUAGAUAUCGAGAGGAAUACCAGUCGCGAAGGCGGGUUCCUAAAACAAUACUGACGCUCAGGGACGAAAGUCUGGGUAGCAAAAGGGAUUAGAGACCCCUGUAGUCCAGACCGUAAACUAUCCUCACUAGCUGGCUGCUUUGCUAAAAAUAUUUUCAAUCGAUUGAUGAGAUUGAUGAAUAGUAUUUUUAGCUAAGUGGCCGGCGUAAGCUAACGCGUUAAGUGAGGCGCCUGGGAACUACGGCCGCAAGGCUAAAACUCAAAGAAAUUGACGGGGGAGCGCACAACCGGUGGAGCAUGUGGUUUAAUUCGAUACAAAGCGAAAAACCUUACCUAGGU